GUGCGCGCCAACCGCCCCCCGCCCACGGCGCGGAGCACCUCUGGGCUCCCCACUUGAACGGCGGGCCGCGCCGGCCCAUGAGGAAAGCGGGGUGCGGAGCUCGCCCCCUGCCGGAGGAUGCGCUCCGCCGGCGGGCACCCUGCGGGGACCACAGCCGGACGCCAGAAGUGACCUGACCGUGAAUGUGCGCUUUGCGUGCAGUCAUUGCAUCGUCGCAGGCCUAGGAGACAGAUGAAGAGAUGGGUGCUUAUUUUAUAUAGGGGACACAGUGUGCCCAAGAGCACAAGAUAAACGGCCGGGUGGGGAUUCAAACCCAUGUUCCCUGACUCAAGUGCUCUUAAGGAAAUUCUCGGUUAUACUGAAAAAUCCAGAAGCUCUGAAGAUACCAGUCAAAUAAAAUCACACCCUAUAACUCUACACCAGACUUGUGGCAUGGUUUCUGUAGCUGCCAGCGGUAAAACCAAGAGAAACUUUACAAAAACCUUUUGUGCAUCUGAAAAGGAGGAAGUGUGAGAGACACUGGAAAUUCAAUAUGUCAGACAAAGCCGUCUCCUGACACUGCAGGACAGUAGACCAGUCAAACAAUCUUUUUAAAGCCCCCAUGUAAGAAGUUGCUAUAUGAGGUGGCAGCUUGGGUCAGACAUUAUGUAUGGCCUUUGGUAUUUUAGUAGCACUGCAUGUAAAAUUUAACUUUCUAAAAUCGCUGUAUUCGUGGAUAGCUUUUAUCAUUGCACUAGACAACAAGUUACAAUUUAAAAAUUGUAUCUGUUUCUUUUUAUGUUUUUUGAUCCUUUUGGUGUCUGAAGUUUUCCUCUAUUUGCAACCUUCUACAAUUCAUGUUUUGUGUUUAUUAUUUAUAUUAAUACAUCCUCUCCAACACCAGGCAGAUUCUGUUCCCGCCUACCUAGUUUCCCAGCUACAGUUUUUGACAUGAGGGAAUAUGCUGAAUAACUUUUCAAGUCUUGAUUUGUAGAGGGCUGGUCUCUAUGAGGCUAUGAGGGAUCUAAGAAAGAAAGUCGGGUUUUUCCUUGAUGUCUAGUACAGCAUUAACCAGACUAAUCAAUACUUCUACAAGGACAAAGUUAAGCUUGGUAUUCUCUGUUCUCUCUUUAUAUACAACUCCGGUUCUUGUUUCUUUUAGUUUAAUUUUGCAGAUACAGGAAGCUUUAGUAGCCUCAAAAAAAUAAAAUUGCAAAGCUGUGUUGCAUUGCAAGGCUGGUGGAAAACAACAAUUAGUUACCAAGUUCAUUGGUGGCCUAAAGAGGAUACCAAAUUGGUAGAAUGCUAGAGCCAUUUAUUCCUCCAUCAUCCCUUAGAAAUCUAACUUGCCUACUGCAUAAGCCUAGAAUUAAAGCAAGACCAGAGCAAAACAUAGCUAAUGCCUUUCUGAGAUUAAUAUAAGAAUGAGUAGCUUCCAAUAAAUAACAAUAAAAUUAAAGUUCAACAUGGAUCAAGGAAACA
Molecule: long non-coding RNA, 1461 nt
Filed under: Homo sapiens (human)
Lineage: Eukaryota; Metazoa; Chordata; Mammalia; Primates; Hominidae
Description: long non-coding RNA NONHSAT184190.1
Source: RNAcentral